UACGGGGGGGGCAAGCGUUGUUCGGAAUUACUGGGCGUAAAGGGCUCGUAGGCGGCCAACUAAGUCGGAUGUGAAAUCCCCAGGCUUAACCUGGGAACUGCAUCCGAUACUGGAUGGCUUGAAUUCGGGAGAGGGAUGCAGAAUUCCAGGUGUAGCGGUGAAAUGCGUAGAUAUCUGGAGGAAUACCGGUGGCGAAGGCGGCAUCCUGGACCGACAUUGACGCUGAGGAGCGAAAGCUAGGGGAGCAAACGGG
Molecule: ribosomal RNA, 253 nt
Filed under: uncultured bacterium
Lineage: Bacteria
Description: partial 16S ribosomal RNA
Rfam family: Bacterial small subunit ribosomal RNA
Source: RNAcentral